AACGAACGCUGGCGGCAUGCCUAACACAUGCAAGUCGAACGAGACCUUCGGGUCUAGUGGCGCACGGGUGCGUAACGCGUGGGAACCUGCCCUUAGGUUCGGAAUAACUCCCCGAAAGGGGUGCUAAUACCGGAUAAUGUCUUCGGACCAAAGAUUUAUCGCCUUUGGAUGGGCCCGCGUUGGAUUAGCUAGUUGGUAGUGUAAAAGCCUACCAAGGCGACGAUCCAUAGCUGGUCUGAGAGGAUGAUUAGCCACACUGGGACUGAGACACGGCCCAGACUCCUACGGAAGGCAGCAGUAGAGAAUAUUGUACAAUGAGCGAAAACCUGAUCCAGCAAUGCCGCGUGAGUCAUGAAUGCCUUAGUGUUGUAAAGCUCUUUUACCCGGGAUGAUAAUGACAGUACCGGGAGAAUAAGCACCGGCUAACUCCGUG
This 433-nucleotide ribosomal RNA is filed under the name uncultured bacterium. Its description in RNAcentral is "partial 16S ribosomal RNA". It matches the Rfam family "Bacterial small subunit ribosomal RNA", at positions 29 to 507 of the family's 1533-position model. The record is from RNAcentral.